RNAcentral lists this long non-coding RNA (752 nucleotides) under Setaria italica (foxtail millet). Its description in RNAcentral is "long non-coding RNA (SITA_LNC001340)". The record is from RNAcentral. Lineage: Eukaryota; Viridiplantae; Streptophyta; Magnoliopsida; Poales; Poaceae.
CCCUGCCGCCGCUGCCUCGUGCCGUGGCCCCGACGCCGUCGCCGCCGAGUGCCUCGCCUAGGCCAUCCACAACUCACCUUGCUGUACGAGUGAUCCAUGAGAGGGCAUGACUAAAAACUGCAAUCGAAAAACCAAGCAUUCAGUCAUAGCGCCAAACAUCAAGGAUUUUGCAGAUCUUCAGAUCCGGUCGAUCAUGGGCUUCAGAAAACGAUGAGUGAACUGGCUACCAGCGGUUCGAAGCUUCAAUGAGGAGGUCUCAAGAGACUAGAAGGGACGGAUUGGGAGGCAAGGAGCGGCCGGAGCAUGAUGGUGCCUCUCCAGCAAGCCGCACGCGCCGCGGCGUUGCCAGCCUGAGCAUCGACCAUGGCUUGGGGUCCAGUUCUUGGGCCUCUGUAGUGAGGAGAUUGGCGGGGAGGCGACCAAGGCGAGCGUGAGCAAAGGAAGAGAGAGGAACAGGAGGGGAGAAGAGAGAAGAGAGAGGAACAGGAGGGGAGAAAAGAGAAGAGGAUGAUAUGUUUCUGGAGCUGGAGCACUGCAAUCAGUCAAAUACGUACUCUAUGUUUUUCUAGAGUUGAUGGAGUGGAGUUGCAAAAGUAUGGAGUUAGUGGAGUAGAGUUGUUUUUUCUAGAGAAGAGUGCUGCCAAGCACACCCCUUAACACCCCUUAAUAUUCCUCAGGCCGCCUCCUCCUAUCAUAUCGUUUGUACUCUCGCUGACUGCUCCAGCGUGAAACCACCAAACAAGCAAAGCCCC